CUCGCCGCCCGCCCACAGCGCCGCCUGCCGGCCGGCGCCAACACUACCGCCAAGCGGGGAGCGGGGCGCAUAGCAGCGGGUGAAAAUGGCUUUAUCCGGCCCCAAUGGCACCGCUUCAGCGGGGCAGGCUUUGUGUCUGCUGGUAUUCGGAAAGCUGCCUGAACACAGCCGGGUCACGAGGAAGCAUUCUAUGUACACACUCCACAGCGCUGGUGAUGGCAGGCAAGCUGGUUUGCUCUGUUGCCCCUGUCCACAUGAACACAUGCUCUUCAAAGCAAACUAAUUUCUGAGCAAACAGCUUCACAGAAGGCAGCAAUCUGUGAUGUGACUGGCUGAGUUGGAGGACUGGGUCCUGCCAGCAGUGAGGACCACCCUGUUUGGACGGCCUGAGAGGUGUACCUGCUGUUGUCACAGCCUGCUCAGGCACUGAGCAUUACCCAUGGCUGGCCCUUGCUGCAAAAGCAUCCCUCGAAGCCUCA
Molecule: long non-coding RNA, 479 nt
Filed under: Melopsittacus undulatus (budgerigar)
Lineage: Eukaryota; Metazoa; Chordata; Aves; Psittaciformes; Psittaculidae
Description: lncRNA (ENSMUNG00000018021.1)
Source: RNAcentral